This 332-nucleotide ribosomal RNA is filed under the name uncultured eukaryote. Its description in RNAcentral is "partial 18S ribosomal RNA". It matches the Rfam family "Eukaryotic small subunit ribosomal RNA", at positions 1470 to 1796 of the family's 1831-position model. The record is from RNAcentral.
CCCUUAGAUGUUCUGGGCUGCACGCGCGCUACACUGUCGGAUUCAGCGAGUCAUAUCCUUAACCGAAAGGUUUGGGUAAUCUUUUGAAAGUCCGACGUGAUGGGGAUUGAUCAUUGCAAUUAUUGAUCAUGAACGAGGAAUUCCUAGUAAGCGCGAGUCAUCAGCUCGCGUUGAUUACGUCCCUGCCCUUUGUACACACCGCCCGUCGCUACUACCGAUUGAAUGGUUUAGUGAGGUCUUCGGAUUGGCGCCUACGCGGCUUCUCUGAGGCCACGCUGGAUGCCGAAAAGUUGCUCAAACUGUAUCAUUUAGAGGAAGUAAAAGUCGUAACA